AGUGAACGCUGGCGGCGUGCUUAACACAUGCAAGUCGAACGAGAACGGAUUAUAGCUUGCUAUAAUUGUCAGCUAAGUGGCGCACGGGUGAGUAAUGUAUAGGUAAUAUGCCUCUUACUAAGGGAUAACAAAUGGAAACGUUUGCUAAUACCUUAUACUCCUUAUUAACAGAAGUUAAUAAGGGAAAGAUUUAUUGGUAAGAGAUUAGCCUGUAUUGUAUCAGUUAGUUGGUGGGGUAAUGGCUUACCAAGACUAUGACACAUAACUGGUUUGAGAGGAUGAUCAGUCACACUGGAACUGAGACACGGUCCAGACUCCUACGGGAGGCAGCAGUGGGGAAUAUUGCACAAUGGACGAAAGUCUGAUGCAGCAACGCCGCGUGGAGGAUGACACAUUUCGGUGCGUAAACUCCUUUUAUAUGAGAAGAUAAUGACGGUAUUAUAUGAAUAAGCACCGGCUAACUCCGUGCCAGCCGCCGCCGUAA
RNAcentral lists this ribosomal RNA (484 nucleotides) under uncultured bacterium. Its description in RNAcentral is "partial 16S ribosomal RNA". It matches the Rfam family "Bacterial small subunit ribosomal RNA", at positions 29 to 523 of the family's 1533-position model. The record is from RNAcentral.